Molecule: ribosomal RNA, 684 nt
Filed under: Triticum aestivum (bread wheat)
Lineage: Eukaryota; Viridiplantae; Streptophyta; Magnoliopsida; Poales; Poaceae
Description: partial small subunit ribosomal RNA
Source: RNAcentral
AUGGGGUCUUGGAGGGUCGACGGUAGUGAUACACACGUCGUCGUGGGAGUAGUGGUUCACAACACGGUAGUCGAACUUGCCGCUUGUGGAACACGGGUCUUGGGCGACGGUGGUCGUACUUGGCGAAAUCCACAAAGGGAUCUUGGCGUUCUUGGCGAUUCCGAAGAUGGCGGUAAAGAGCAGGACUUGGCGGAAACCCCGAAGGCGCUGCUCGUUGGACUUGUGACAGAGGUCAACAGAGAGGUCGAGAACUUCCUCUGGCGUGAGGCAGCGGUGGAGACGCGGGAAGGAGGACUCGGGCAGGAAUUGGUUAGGCAGCACGAGAGGCAGGAGAAAAGGCGCGGAGGCGCUGCUGGAGAUGGUGGCGGAGCUAUCUGCUCGUCCUUCGGGUCACCGGUGGCAGGGUCCUACUUGCCGUAUGCGAAGCGAGGUCGAGGAGGAGGCCGAGCGCUAUGUGGGCGCGACGAAGGUGGUGACGCCGUGGUUCGCUGGCAGGAAGAGGCGGUGCAGUGGGGCGAUGGGGAUGGACGGAGGAGAUGGGCUCGCUGGCCAGAACGACGGCACGACGACAGAGGAAGGGGUUGCCGGCAGCGCUGUUGGCGCAACACGGCUAGAGGCGCGGGCGCCAUGGCGGGAGGUGACGUGGCUCCGGUGGUUGAGGCCAAACGGAGGGAGCGGCCGUAG